GUCAAAAAUCUUGUACCAAAGUCACUUUACUACUUCAAACUCGUCUGCCAUCUUGUUUCCUAAUGGGGUUGUUCGCUGACCACUGCAGUGCGGGCGUACAUCCUUGAACGCGCAAAAAUAUAAACAUGGAGUCGAAACCAGUAGAGAGUCCAAGUCAUAGAAGGGAAAAGCGUGAACUAAAAAAGGAAGAAAGGCCAAGAACUGCUGAGCGAUCAGAAAAAAGAAAAAAAGAUAGAAAAAGAAGAUAUUCAAGUAGUAGUUCAAGAGAAAGGUCAUCUUCAAGAUCGUCAGAUUCUUCAGAAAAAAGAAAAAAAGAUAGAAAAAGAAGAUAUUCAAGUAGUAGUUCAAGAGAAAGAUCAUCUUCAAGAUCAUCAGAUUCUUCGACAGUUGAACGAAAAAGAAGAAAACAAAAGAAAAAGAAGAUGAGAAAAAAAGAAAAGAAAGAAAAGAGAUCUGGACCCGUUCAACUUUCAAAACUUGGAUUUGAGCUGCAGUUGUGCACUGGAAUAAAAAAGGUUUUUGAAUUAAAUAUUGGCUGCACAACUUGUUGCAGUUCAUGAAAGAAAAGACUAUGAGCAGAAGUGCUGUUUCAGGGAAAAAGAUCAAAAUGAAAGUUAAAAAAUCCAGUCAUGAUAAAAAGAUGGAGAAAAAAAGGAAGGAUUUACUGUCAUUUUUGAACCAAACCAUGUAA
RNAcentral lists this unclassified non-coding RNA (691 nucleotides) under Exaiptasia diaphana. RNAcentral describes it as "protein PXR1, transcript variant X1". The record is from RNAcentral. Lineage: Eukaryota; Metazoa; Cnidaria; Anthozoa; Actiniaria; Aiptasiidae.